UACGUAGGGGGCGAGCGUUGUCCGAAGUUACUGGGCGUAAAGCGCGCGUAGGCGGGGGGUUAAGUGAGAGGUGAAAGGCUGGGGCUCAACCCCAUGCAGUGCCUCUCAUACUGGCCUUCUUGAGGGCGGUAGGGAGAAGUGGAAUGGCUGGUGUAGCGGUGAAAUGCGUAGAUAUCAGUCGGAACACCGGUGGCGAAGGCGGCUUCUUGGGCCGUUCCUGACGCUGAGGCGCGAAAGCUGGGGGAGCGAACGAG
Molecule: ribosomal RNA, 254 nt
Filed under: uncultured bacterium
Lineage: Bacteria
Description: partial 16S ribosomal RNA
Rfam family: Bacterial small subunit ribosomal RNA
Source: RNAcentral